This 253-nucleotide ribosomal RNA is filed under the name uncultured bacterium. Its description in RNAcentral is "partial 16S ribosomal RNA". It matches the Rfam family "Bacterial small subunit ribosomal RNA", at positions 524 to 776 of the family's 1533-position model. The record is from RNAcentral.
UACAGAGGGGGCAAGCGUUGUCCGGAAUUACUGGGCGUACAGCGCGCGCAGGCGGUCCUGGACGUGCCGUGUGACAUCCGUCGGCUCAACCGACGGAGGCCAGGGUACACGACAAGACUGGAGACAGAGAGAGGGAUGUGGAAUACCCGGUGGAGCGGUGAAAUGCGUAGAGAUCGGGUGGAACACCAGGGGCGAAGGCGGCAUCCUGGCUCUGUUCUGACGCUGAGGCGCGAGAGCGUGGGGAUCAAACAGG